UAUGAUUGUCUGGAAUAGUUGAAUUUCUCUCACAUCCUGUUUGGAACCUCCGCAGAAUAAGGAAUUCACUACUUCAGUUCAGUUGCAACUGAGAACGUUGCAAUAGUAGCUCUGGACAUUGGGUUCUGGAAUUUUCACGUCUUUCGACUCAAGCCUAUACCUGUAGCAAACCGAAAUCUCGAGCACAAACACAUCUGUGGUACCGUUACCGUCCGAGAUUUUGUUGGCCACGUCAUCAGCCACGUAAGCAUCGAGCGUGGAGAGUUUGAAACUAACUAGUGUUUGGUUGGUGGUGGUUAGAAGCAAGGGACGCAACGAGGUUGCUGCGAGCAGCACACGUUGGUAAUGUUGAUCUAGACGGGACUGUAGUAGAAGAGCGAGACCUGGAGGCUGUCACAGUAGAUGUCCCACUUCUUGUUGGGGUUCAUGGGGUUCAUGGCUAGGUGAACUCGGAGGGGGUAUUGCAGGGCCGCUGAGUGGACUAGGAACUCAGGGUAGUUUUAGUACUAGUAGUGCCAACCAUGAUUUUAGAGAUGUUGGUGGCUUCUCGGACUUUGGCUUUGGCUUCCGGUAGUACAAAACAUAUUUUAACUUUACAUAAGUCAUAUACUUGGGCACAACUUCUUUUCAAAUCAAACAACUCUUGGUGAAAAUGAGUUUGUCAUUCGACUAUAGACUAGUCACAUAUCUAUUGUGAAAA
Molecule: long non-coding RNA, 700 nt
Filed under: Prunus dulcis (almond)
Lineage: Eukaryota; Viridiplantae; Streptophyta; Magnoliopsida; Rosales; Rosaceae
Description: sRNA ncRNA
Source: RNAcentral